Molecule: long non-coding RNA, 542 nt
Organism: Lagenorhynchus albirostris (white-beaked dolphin)
Lineage: Eukaryota; Metazoa; Chordata; Mammalia; Artiodactyla; Delphinidae
Exons: 3
Source: RefSeq, a predicted model, not a curated record
GGGGGUCUCAGAUAUGUAUAAACCCAGCUGGUUGCCGAGAGGUUCAGAAAAUCUCACUUUGCUGUAGACUCAUAACCUUUUCUACACUUGAGACGUUCUCAACUCUUUCUACAAGAUGGUACAUUUGCAGACUUAUGCUAUUUGUGUUAAGUUUGUGGAUCUGGACUCAAGUGUCCUCAUCAGACUAAACCUCAGAGGGUCAAGAGUGAGCUCUGGGGACUUCCCUGGUGGUGCAGUGGUUGAGAAUCUGCCUGCCAAUGCAGGGGACGCGGGUUCGAGCCCUGGUCCGGGAAGAUCCCACAUACCGCAGAGCAACUAAGCCCGUGAGCUACAACUACUGAGCCUGCGUGCCUAGAGCCUGUGCUUCGCAACAAAGAGAAGCCACAGCAAUGAGAAGCCCGCGCACCGCAACGAAGAGUAGCCCCCGCUCACCGCAACUAGAGAAAGCCCGUGCACAGCAAUGAAGACCUAACGCAGCCAAUAAAUAAAUAAAUUUAUUAAAAAGAGUGAGCUCUGAAGAGCUUCUCCAUGCACGUGCAUGU